UGAUCUACGGCUAUUUCAUUACCAAAGCUCCUGAUAACAGAUCAAAGCAGAUGGAUCGGGCAUACAGAGUUGCCGUUUAACUUAAAAUAUCUUCGUGAUCGGCAAACGCAUCAAACAGUAAGUGUUUUUCUUCCAACAGCACGCACCAUCGGUGGAGCAAGCAGCUAACGUUUUGUUCGCCCAG
Anopheles merus is the source of this 184-nucleotide long non-coding RNA. RefSeq lists it as uncharacterized. Lineage: Eukaryota; Metazoa; Arthropoda; Insecta; Diptera; Culicidae. The transcript has 3 exons. The record is from RefSeq and is a predicted model, not a curated record.